This 2265-nucleotide ribosomal RNA is filed under the name Roseburia sp. 831b. RNAcentral's name for it is "bacterial LSU rRNA". It matches the Rfam family "Bacterial large subunit ribosomal RNA", at positions 1 to 2297 of the family's 2925-position model. The record is from RNAcentral. Lineage: Bacteria; Bacillati; Bacillota; Clostridia; Lachnospirales; Lachnospiraceae.
AGGUCAAGCAAGAAAGAGCGCAGGGUGGAUGCCUUGGCACUAAGAGCCGAAGAAAGACGUGAUAAGCUGCGAAAAGCCACGGGGAGGAGCAAAUAUCCCUUGAUCCGUGGAUGUCUGAAUGGGGAAACCCACAUGAGAACACCUCAUGUAUCCAUACGCCAAUCCAUAACGUAUGGAAGGGAACCCGGUGAACUGAAACAUCUAAGUAGCCGGAGGAAGAGAAAGAAAAAUCGAUUUCCAAAGUAGCGGCGAGCGAAAUGGAAAGAGGCCAAACCGGAGUGCGUGCAUUCCGGGGUUCGGACCGCAUAAUUGAUUCAAUGAUUCUAGCAGAACUGUUUUGGGAAAGCAGGCCGCAGAGGGUGAAAGCCCCGUAAGCGAAAGGAGAAUUGACAUGGCGGUAUCCAGAGUACAUCGAGACACGAGAAACCUUGAUGGAAUGAGCGGGGACCACCCCGUAAGCCUAAAUACUACUUAGUGACCGAUAGCGCAUAGUACUGUGAAGGAAAGGUGAAAAGGACCCCGGGAGGGGAGUGAAAGAGAACCUGAAACCCUGUGUUUACAAGCUGUGGAAGACCCUUAUGUGGUCAACCGCGUACUUUUUGUAGAACGGUCCGGCGAGUUACGGACACUGGCAAGGUUAAGUGCUUAAGGCACGGAGCCGAAGGGAAACCAAGUCUUAACAGGGCAUAAAGUCAGUGUACGUAGACCCGAAACCGGGUGAUCUAUCCAUGUCCAGGUUGAAGUUGCCGUAAAAGGCAAUGGAGGACCGAACGCACAUCCGUUGAAAAGGGUGGCGAUGAGGUGUGGAUAGGGGAGAAAUUCCAAUCGAACCCGGAGAUAGCUGGUUCUCCUCGAAAUAGCUUUAGGGCUAGCCUCGUUUUAGUCUUAUGGAGGUAGAGCACUGAAUUUCCGCGGGGGCGUCAAAGCUUACCAAAGAAUAUCAAACUCCGAAUGCCAUGUAGAUGAUGAACGGGAGUCAGACUGCACGAGAUAAGUUGGGUAGUCAAAAGGGAAAGAGCCCAGACCACCAGCUAAGGUCCCAAAGUGUGUGUUAAGUGGAAAAGGAUGUGGGAUUUCGAAGACAACUAGGAUGUUGGCUCAGAAGCAGCCAUUCAUUCAAAGAGUGCGUAACAGCUCACUAGUCGAGAGGUCCUGCGCCGAAAAUGUCCGGGGCUGAAACACAACACCGAAGCUGUGGAAUGUAGUAAUACAUUGGUAGAGGAGCAUUCUUAAUACCGACGAAGCUGUACCGGAAGGAGCAGUGGAGGGAUAAGAAGAGAGAAUGCCGGAAUGAGUAGCGAGAGGAAGGUGAGAAUCCUUCCGGCCGAAUAUCUAAGGUUUCCAGAGUAAAGCUGAUCUGCUCUGGGUAAGUCGGGGCCUAAGGCGAGGUCGAAAGACGUAGUCGAUGGAUAACAGGUUUAGAUUCCUGUACUGCGUAUCAUCAGAAAUGUGGGGACGCAUGUGGAAAGCACGAGCCGGGAAUGGAAAGACCGGUACAAGCGAGGGAGGUGUACGGCUGGCAAAUCCGCCGUAUAAGCCAAAAGCGUGAAGUGGAGCGAAAUAAAAGUAGCGAAGCGUGUGAGCCAUGUGCCGAGAAAAGCCGCUAUUGUGUGAUAUGUACCCGUACCGCAAACCGACACAGGUAGAUGAGGAGAGAAUCCUAAGGCCGACGGAAGAAGUAUUGUUAAGGAAUUCGGCAAAAUGUCCCCGUAACUUCGGGAGAAGGGGAGCCCACGAGAGUGGGCCGCAGAGAAUAGGCUCAAGCAACUGUUUAGCAAAAACACAGGUCUAUGCGAAACCGAAAGGUGAUGUAUAUGGGCUGACGCCUGCCCGGUGCUGGAAGGUUAAGAGGAGAGGUUAGAGCAAUCGAAGCUUUGAAUUUAAGCCCCAGUAAACGGCGGCCGUAACUAUAACGGUCCUAAGGUAGCGAAAUUCCUUGUCGGGUAAGUUCCGACCCGCACGAAAGGCGUAAUGAUUUGAGCACUGUCUCGACAAUACAUCCGGUGAAAUUGAAGUACCAGUGAAGAUGCUGGUUACCCGCGCCAGGACGGAAAGACCCCAUGGAGCUUUACUCCAGUUUGGUACUGGGAUUCGGUACUGCAUGUACAGGAUAGGUGGGAGACUAAGAAACUUGAACGCCAGUUUGAGUGGAGUCGCUGUUGGGAUACCACCCUUGCAGUAUUGGGUUUCUAACCUGUCACCGUGAUCCGGUGAAGGGACAAUGCCAGGCGGGGAGUUUGACUGGGGCGGUCGCCUCCGAAAGGG